GGUCAGAUUUAUGGCUCAGAUUGAACGCUGGCGGGAUGCUUUACACAUGCAAGUCGAACGGCAGCACGGACUUCCGGUCUGGUGGCGAGUGGCGAACGGGUGAGUAAUGUAUCGGAACGUGCCUAGUAGCGGGGAUAAUCUGCGCGAAAGCGUAGCCAAUACCGCAUACGCCCUUCGGGGGAAAGCGGGGGACCUUCGGGCCUCGCACUAUUAGAGCAUGAUAUCGGAUUAGCUAGUUGGGUGGGGUAACGGCUCACCAAGGCGACGAUCCGUAGCUGGUUUGAGAGGACGACCAACCACACUGGGACCGAGACACGGCCCAGACUCUACGGGAGGCAGCAGUGGGGAAUUUUGACAAUGGGGGAAACCCUGAUCCAGCCAUCCCGCGUGUGCGAUGAAGGCCUUCGGGCGUUGUAAAGCGCUUUGUGAAAGAAACGGCACGGGAUAAUACCCCGUGCAAUUGACGGUACCUGCAGAAUAAGCACCGGCUAACUACGUGCCAGCAGCUGCGGUAAUACGUAGGGUGCAAGCGUUAAUCGGAAUUACUGGGCGUAAAGUGCGCAGGCGGUUCGGAAAGAAAGAGCGUGAAAUCCUGUGAGCUUAACUUUGGAACUGCAUUUUUUAACUACCGAGCUAGAGUGUGUCAGAGGGAGGUGGAAUUCCGCGUGUAGCAGUGAAAUGCGUAGAUAUGCGGAGGAACACCGAUGGCGAAGGCAGCCUCCUGGGAUAACACUGACGCUCAUGCACGAAAGCGUGGGGAGCAAACAGGAUUAGAUACCCCGGUAGUCCACGCCCCAAACGAUGUCAACUAGCUGUUGGGGCCUUCGGGCCUGGUAGCGCAGCUGACGCAUUUGAAGUUGACCGCCUGGGGAGUACGGUCGCAAGAUUAAAACUCAAAGGAAUUGACGGGACCCGCACAAGCGGUGGAUGAUGUGGAUUAAUUCGAUGCAACGCGAAAACCUUACCUACCCUUGACAUGGUCCUGAACUCUGAAGAGAUUUGGGAGUGCUCGCAAGAGAACCGGAACACAGGUGCUGCAUGGCUGUCGUCAGCUCGUGUCGUGAGAUGUUGGGUUAAGUCCUGCAACGAGCGCAACCCUUGUCAUUAGUUGCUACGAAAGGGCACUCUAAUGAGACUGCCGGUGACAAACCGGGAGGAAGGUGGGAUGACGUCAAGUCCUCAUGGCCCUUAUGGGUAGGCUUCACACGUCAUACAAUGGUCGGGACAGAGGGUCGCUAACCCGCGAGGGGGAGCCAAUCCCAGAAACCCGAUCGUAGUCCGGAUCGCAGUCUGCAACUCGACUGCGUGAAGUCGGAAUCGCUAGUAAUCGCGGAUCAGCAUGUCGCGUGGUGAAUACGCCCCGGGUCUUGUACACACCGCCCGUCACACCAUGGGAGUGGGUUUUACCAGAAGUAGUUGUGGGGCCCAACCGUAAGGAGGGCGAUUACCACGGUAGGAUUCAUGACUGGGGUGAAGUCGUAACAAGGCAG
RNAcentral lists this ribosomal RNA (1490 nucleotides) under uncultured Bordetella sp. Its description in RNAcentral is "partial 16S-23S ribosomal RNA intergenic spacer". It matches the Rfam family "Bacterial small subunit ribosomal RNA". The record is from RNAcentral. Lineage: Bacteria; Pseudomonadati; Pseudomonadota; Betaproteobacteria; Burkholderiales; Alcaligenaceae.